RNAcentral lists this ribosomal RNA (889 nucleotides) under uncultured Lactococcus sp. RNAcentral describes it as "bacterial SSU rRNA". It matches the Rfam family "Bacterial small subunit ribosomal RNA", at positions 44 to 916 of the family's 1533-position model. The record is from RNAcentral. Lineage: Bacteria; Bacillati; Bacillota; Bacilli; Lactobacillales; Streptococcaceae.
GUGCCUAAUACAUGCAAGUUGAGCGCUGAAGGUUGGUACUUGUACCGACUGGAUGAGCAGCGAACGGGUGAGUAACGCGUGGGGAAUCUGCCUUUGAGCGGGGGACAACAUUUGGAAACGAAUGCUAAUACCGCAUAAAAACUUUAAACACAAGUUUUAAGUUUGAAAGAUGCAAUUGCAUCACUCAAGGAUGAUCCCGCGUUGUAUUAGCUAGUUGGUGAGGUAAAGGCUCACCAAGGCGAUGAUACAUAGCCGACCUGAGAGGGUGAUCGGCCACAUUGGGACUGAGACACGGCCCAAACUCCUACGGGAGGCAGCAGUAGGGAAUCUUCGGCAAUGGACGAAAGUCUGACCGAGCAACGCCGCGUGAGUGAAGAAGGUUUUCGGAUCGUAAAACUCUGUUGGUAGAGAAGAACGUUGGUGAGAGUGGAAAGCUCAUCAAGUGACGGUAACUACCCAGAAAGGGACGGCUAACUACGUGCCAGCAGCCGCGGUAAUACGUAGGUCCCGAGCGUUGUCCGGAUUUAUUGGGCGUAAAGCGAGCGCAGGUGGUUUAUUAAGUCUGGUGUAAAAGGCAGUGGCUCAACCAUUGUAUGCAUUGGAAACUGGUAGACUUGAGUGCAGGAGAGGAGAGUGGAAUUCCAUGUGUAGCGGUGAAAUGCGUAGAUAUAUGGAGGAACACCGGUGGCGAAAGCGGCUCUCUGGCCUGUAACUGACACUGAGGCUCGAAAGCGUGGGGAGCAAACAGGAUUAGAUACCCUGGUAGUCCACGCCGUAAACGAUGAGUGCUAGAUGUAGGGAGCUAUAAGUUCUCUGUAUCGCAGCUAACGCAAUAAGCACUCCGCCUGGGGAGUACGACCGCAAGGUUGAAACUCAAAGGAAUUGACGG